AGAAAAGAAGAAUAAGAUGAAAGUGAGUGUUUUUCUCUUCAGACUUUGUACUGUUUUGAUUUUUGUUUUUGGCUUCGCUGAGAUGCUGAGGAAAGAAAAGUCACGCUUUUGAACUCUGGGUUUUUAUCUUUCUGGAAUUUACGUUAAUUGAGUGUGUUAAUUUGUCUUAUCACAAGUCGGAAUUUUAGGAUAUUGAAGAUGUUGAUUUAUUGUUUUGGCUAAUGCGUUCCAAUAAUGAAAAUUGAGUGCUGGUGAUUAGUUUCAAAAUGGGGUGAUUGGUCAUUUGAUUUUUAAAGUAGACAUUUUCUAUCGUAUGAAAUUAUAUUUGUUAUUGUUUGAAGUUUUGAUCUGAUUUCCAAGCAUAGUUGUUGUUAAGGUUGUCGGUAAAA
RNAcentral lists this unclassified non-coding RNA (389 nucleotides) under Hevea brasiliensis (rubber tree). The record is from RNAcentral. Lineage: Eukaryota; Viridiplantae; Streptophyta; Magnoliopsida; Malpighiales; Euphorbiaceae.